AACGAGCGAGACCCACGCCAACAGUUGCCAGCAUGGUCCUCCGGGGAUGGUGGGGACGACUGUUGGGACCGCCGUCUGCUAAAGAGGAGGAAGGGAUGGGCAACGGUAGGUCAGCAUGCCCCGAAUUAUCCGGGCUACACGCGGGCUACAAUGGUCAGGACAAUGGGCAUCAACACCGAAAGGUGAAGGCAAUCUCUUAAACCUGUCCUUAGUUCGGAUUGUGGGCUGCAACUCGCCCACAUGAAGCUGGAAUCUGUAGUAAUCGCGUCUCAAAAUGGCGCGGUGAAUAUGUCCCUGCUCCUU
This 303-nucleotide ribosomal RNA is filed under the name uncultured Methanolinea sp. Its description in RNAcentral is "bacterial SSU rRNA". It matches the Rfam family "Archaeal small subunit ribosomal RNA", at positions 1040 to 1338 of the family's 1478-position model. The record is from RNAcentral. Lineage: Archaea; Methanobacteriati; Methanobacteriota; Methanomicrobia; Methanomicrobiales; Methanoregulaceae.